RNAcentral lists this ribosomal RNA (447 nucleotides) under uncultured soil bacterium. Its description in RNAcentral is "bacterial SSU rRNA". It matches the Rfam family "Bacterial small subunit ribosomal RNA", at positions 35 to 467 of the family's 1533-position model. The record is from RNAcentral.
GCUGGCGGCGUGGAUAAGACAUGCAAGUCGGACGGGAUUACCUUUGGUAGCAAUACCGAAGGUGAUUAGUGGCGAACGGGUGCGUAACACGUGGGCAAUCUGCCUUAAAGUGGGGGAUAGCUCGCCGAAAGGCGAAUUAAUACCGCAUGUGAUCAGGGAAGACAUCUUUCUGAAAUCAAAGGUGGCGCAAGCUACCGCUUUUUGAGGAGCCCGCGGCCUAUCAGCUUGUUGGUGAGGUAACGGCCCACCAAGGCUAUGACGGGUAGCUGGUCUGAGAGGACGACCAGUCACACUGGGACUGAGACACGGCCCAGACACCUACGGGUGGCAGCAGUCGAGAAUUUUUCUCAAUGGGGGAAACCCUGAAGGAGCGACGCCGCGUGGAGGAUGAAGGCUUUCGGGUUGUAAACUCCUGUCAUUUGAGAACAAGGUGCGCACGUUAACUGC